CCUACGGGGGACAGCAGUGAGGAAUAUUGGUCAAUGGACGAGAGUCUGAACCAGCCAAGUAGCGUGAAGGAUGACUGCCCUAUGGGUUGUAAACUUCUUUUAUAUGGGAAUAAAGUUUUCCACGUGUGGUGUUUUGUAUGUACCAUAUGAAUAAGGAUCGGCUAACUCCGUGCCAGCAGCCGCGGUAAUACGGAGGAUCCGAGCGUUAUCCGGAUUUAUUGGGUUUAAAGGGUGCGUAGGUGGAUUGUUAAGUCAGUUGUGAAAGUUUGCGGCUCAACCGUAACAUUGCAGUUGAAACUGGCAGUCUUGAGAACAGUAGAGGUGGGCGGAAUGCGUGGUGUAGCGGUGAAAUGCUUAGAUAUCACGAAGAACUCCGAUUGCGAAGGCAGCUUACUGGACUGGAACUGACACUGAGGCACGAAAGUGUGGGUAUCAAACAGGAUUAGAUACCCUUGUAGUC
This 460-nucleotide ribosomal RNA is filed under the name uncultured bacterium. Its description in RNAcentral is "partial 16S ribosomal RNA". It matches the Rfam family "Bacterial small subunit ribosomal RNA", at positions 338 to 795 of the family's 1533-position model. The record is from RNAcentral.